UACGUAGGGUGCGAGCGUUGCCCGGAUUUACUGGGCGUAAAGGGCGCGUAGGCGGUCAGCACAAGUCAGUUGUGAAAUCUCCGGGCUUAACUCGGAAAGGUCAACUGAUACUGUGCGACUAGAGUGCGGAAGGGGCAACUGGAAUUCUCGGUGUAGCGGUGAAAUGCGUAGAUAUCGAGAGGAACACCUGCGGCGAAGGCGGGUUGCUGGGCCGACACUGACGCUGAUGCGCGAAAGCCAGGGGAGCGAACGGG
This 254-nucleotide ribosomal RNA is filed under the name uncultured bacterium. RNAcentral describes it as "partial 16S ribosomal RNA". It matches the Rfam family "Bacterial small subunit ribosomal RNA", at positions 524 to 776 of the family's 1533-position model. The record is from RNAcentral.